UGCAGUCGAGUGCGCGGUUGUAGCAAUACAACUGGCGCACGGCGCACGGGCGCGUAACACGUGGGCAAUCUGCCCUUCGAUGGGGAAUAACUCCGGGAAACCGAAGCUAAUUCCGCAUAACAUUCCUUGGACCUCGGUUCGAGGACUCAAAGCCGUAAGGCGUCGAAGGAGGAGCCCGCGCACGAUUAGCUAGUUGGUAGGGUAACGGCCUACCAAGGCUUUGAUCGUUAGCUGGUCUGAGAGGAUGGCCAGCCACACUGGAACUGAGACACGGUCCAGACUCCUACGGGAGGCAGCAGUGGGGAAUCUUGCACAAUGGGCGAAAGCCUGAUGCAGCGACGCCGCGUGGGGGAUGAAGCAUCUCGGUGUGUAAACCCCUUUCGACCCGGACGAAUGCCUCGCAAGAGGAGUGACGGUACGGGUAUAAGAAGCCCCGGCUAACUACGUGCCAGCAGCCGCGGUAAGACGUAGGGGGCCAGCGUUGUUCGGAAUUACUGGGUGUAAAGGGUCAGUAGGCGGUGUGGCAAGUCGGGAGUGAAAUCUCUGGGCUCAACCCAGAGGCUGCUUCCGAAACUGCCAUGCUAGAGUGUGGGAGAGGCGCGUGGAAUUGCAGGUGUAGCGGUGAAAUGCGUAGAUAUCUGCAGGAACACCCGUGGCGAAAGCGGCGCGCUGGACCACAACUGACGCUGAAUGACGAAAGCUAGGGGAGCAAACAGGAUUAGAUACCCUGGUAGUCCUAGCCCUAAACGAUCAGGACUUGGGGUGCCGCACGUUCGUGCGUCGUCCCGGAGCUAACGCGUUAAGUCCUGCACCUGGGGAGUACGGUCGCAAGACUGAAACUCAAAAGGAAUUGACGGGGGGCCCGCACAACCGGUGGAACAUGUGGUUCAAUUCGACGCUAC
Molecule: ribosomal RNA, 902 nt
Filed under: uncultured Bacillota bacterium
Lineage: Bacteria; Bacillati; Bacillota
Description: bacterial SSU rRNA
Rfam family: Bacterial small subunit ribosomal RNA
Source: RNAcentral